UAGGGAAUCUUCCGCAAUGGACGAAAGUCUGACGGAGCAACGCCGCGUGAGUGAAGAAGGAUUUCGGUUCGUAAAACUCUGUUGUUAGGGAAGAAAAAAUGUAUAGUAACUAUAUACAAAAGAGACGGUACCUAACCAGAAAGCCACGGCUAACUACGUGCCAGCAGCCGCGGUAAUACGUAGGUGGCAAGCGUUGUCCGGAAUUAUUGGGCGUAAAGUGCGCGCAGGUGGUUUAGAAAGUCUGAUGUGAAAGCCCACGGCUCAACCGUGGAGGGUCAUUGGAAACUAAUAAACUUGAGUGCAGGAGAGAAAAGUGGAAUUCCUAGUGUAGCGGUGAAAUGCGUAGAGAUUAGGAGGAACACCGGUGGCGAAAGCGGCUUUUUGGCCUGCAACUGACACUGAGGCGCGAAAGCGUGGGAAGCAAACAGG
RNAcentral lists this ribosomal RNA (429 nucleotides) under Verrucomicrobiota bacterium. RNAcentral's name for it is "Verrucomicrobia bacterium partial 16S ribosomal RNA". It matches the Rfam family "Bacterial small subunit ribosomal RNA", at positions 355 to 776 of the family's 1533-position model. Lineage: Bacteria; Pseudomonadati; Verrucomicrobiota. The record is from RNAcentral.